RNAcentral lists this ribosomal RNA (418 nucleotides) under Theridion albidum. RNAcentral describes it as "partial 16S ribosomal RNA". Lineage: Eukaryota; Metazoa; Arthropoda; Arachnida; Araneae; Theridiidae. The record is from RNAcentral.
UCUGCUCAAUGAAAAUUAAAUAGCCGCAGAUAUUCUGUGCUAAGGUAGCAUAAUCAUUUGUUUUUUAAUUAAAAACUAGAAUGAAAGAUUUAACGUUUUAAUUUCUUUAUUAUUAAUAUAUUUUUAAAUUAUAUUAAAUAUAAAAAUAUAUUUAUAUAAAAAAUAGACGACAAGACCCUAUUAAACUUUACUAUUAGUUAAGCUGGGGCAGCUAAUUAAUUAUAAUUUUAAUUUAUUUAUUAUUUUUAAAAAAUUUCCAAUUUUAUUGAUUAUUUAAACAAGUUACUAUAGGGAUAACAGCAUAAUAUUAUUUUAAAGUUCAUAUUAAAAAUAAUGUUUAUGACCUCGAUGUUGAAUUAUUAUUCUAUUUAAUGCAAUAGUUAAAAAAGUAGGUCUGUUCGACCUUUAAUAUAUUACA